Paramisgurnus dabryanus is the source of this 1939-nucleotide non-coding RNA. The record is from RefSeq and is a predicted model, not a curated record. Lineage: Eukaryota; Metazoa; Chordata; Actinopteri; Cypriniformes; Cobitidae.
ACAGUACAGUACUGCAGUUCAUAAUGCAUUCUGGGUAAAUUUGUUUGAGCGGGAAAAUUUUACAGUAUAUUUUGGUCUUGAUGUAACCUUGCUGUAGCCAUUGCUGUAAUGUGCCAGGUGUACUUGCAAUAAUCAGAGAAAGUGCGCCAACGUCAAAUCACACAGAGGGAGAGAGAGCACAACUCCUGGCUGCAGCUGAAGGAGGACGAUUGAUUUCUGGCAGUUCGGUAAGUUUGAAAUAUUUCUGUUUCAUGAAAACUUAAUUUUUAGUUUAAGAAUGUUGUCAAUAGUUUGUCACAAUAUUGUUUUAAACGUGCAAUGAGAGAGAAAAACGGUCGCCAACAAAGUUUCAAUCUCCCUCAGAAAGUAAGCUCACGUUACACACAGAUGUCUACCGCUGCUUUAACUCGCUUUACACCUUUUUUUUAAUGAAUAUAGGGUUGUUUUAACUAAAUUAUGAGGGUUUUGGUGAGUUUAUAUUGUGUUGAAAGUGUGGUGACAAUGAAACUAUUUUUAACGAAAUGGACAAAGACAACCCGCCAGCGCGGUCUUGCGGUCCCAGCAUAAUGGUCGUUUAUCUCGGCGUUUCAUCCGUUCAGUUAGCGUCAGAGAAAAGUAUUAAGUUAGACUGUUUGGCAAGGCUGACUCGUGGUUGUAAACAGUCAGGACUUGUCACACCGUACACAGCAUACUGUAGUACUGAACUCCUCCACAGAAGUGAAAACAAGAAACCUCAUAACUGGAUACAUGCAUCGAACUCAUCGCAGCUUUAACUUCUACCAAAUAUCAUUCAGACCUGGGCUCAUCUUAAUAUCAGAUGAACGAAAGGGAUUGCCGCGCGUAUUGUUGUUGUUAUUAUAUUACGGUAUAUCAUCAAAAGCAGAGAAUAUCUUCUCUAAAGCGUUUUACACGUCCAUCUUACCAUUGCUUGUAAGCUGGAUUGGGUAAGAUGGAUCAUCUUUAAAGGCACCAGGAGUUAAGGCAGAUGUGGAGGCACAACGGGUGAUACCAGACACACACCAAGCACAUUAUGUUUGGACAUUCAAUCAUGACAUGAUCCAGGUGGAUGCUGUCCAUUGAGGAAAGAGUUUGUUCAGCGGUUUCUGGAUAGAAUUAAUUCCAAAGAUGGGAAAAAGUGCACAUCCAGACAAGGAGCAAGCAAAAAGACAAGGAACUUGGUGCAGAGAAAAGCUGUGGCCAUUAACCCCUGUGAACAGCUUCAUGCAGUCGCUGAUUGAGUUCGAAUGGACGACUUCAGUAAAGGCCACUGUGGUCUGUCUGCCACAGUUUAAUUUUUAAUUUAUUUUUAGUGUUCAAUGAAAUUCAAGUAGAAUAUUUAAAACUAUGGGCCAGUGUUGUUUUUACCACGGUGAAAUGUUACCUUUUAGUCGAUGAUGGACUUUAAACUGAAAACUUCAAACUAUGGAACAGUGUUCUAUUUGCCAGAGUUAAAUAUGUUACAGCAGGGGUCUCCAAACUUGUUUAUACUUGUUGAUUUUAUUUUAUGUUACUUGAUUAUAUGUUUAUUAUUGUUUAAAAUCUUGUUUUAAAUAUGUUUGUUUCAAUUAAAUGUUUUUUUUAAUAAAAUUUUGAUACAAACAUUGCUUGGAUUGCCUUUUAAUUCAUUAUGUUUUAAUUUAGCAUUUUUACCAUAUUAAUAACUAUAGAUUUAAACCUAAAUCUCUAGCUAUUUUAUAUAAUAUUAUUGUAUUAACUGUAAUAAGUAAUAAAUAGUAUUUAUGGGUCAAUAUAGACAUUACAGUAAAUUACUGUAAAAAUAGACUACUGUAAUAAAAUAUUGUAAAAUUACAGUACAGUACUGCUUUGUAACUAUACAGUACUAGUUUGUGUACUGUAAAAUGGUAUUACAGUACAGUACUGUAAAACCAAAAUACAGUAACUUACUGGCAACCGUGCUGCCAGUACCGUACUGUAAAAA